This 264-nucleotide long non-coding RNA is filed under the name Phaseolus vulgaris (common bean). Its description in RNAcentral is "long non-coding RNA (PVUL_LNC000780)". Lineage: Eukaryota; Viridiplantae; Streptophyta; Magnoliopsida; Fabales; Fabaceae. The record is from RNAcentral.
UGACUGAGCGAACUCCUCUCCACCGUCGUCAUCCAGUAUAUCAAUAACCAACAUAAGCUCCCCUUUGUAAAAAUCCUUAUUCACAUCAAACUUCCAUUCAUUAAGGGGGAUGCUGUAUAAGUAUGCGGCUUGAUCCAAAGCCUUGUUGAAGCCGAGCUCAUGUUUGUGGAGAACAAAAUCUUGCGUGCGACGAAGGUCUUCACCCUCCUUGCGCAAGAACGCCUGCAACUGCUCGAUCUUCUUUUGUUCAGAAUGAGAGUGAAC